UAACAAGGAUUCCCCUAGUAACUGCGAGUGAAGCGGGAAAAGCUCAAAUUUAAAAUCUGGCGGUCUCUGUGGCCGUCCGAGUUGUAAUUUAGAGAAGCGUUUUCCGCGCCGGUCCGUGUACAAGUCUCCUGGAACGGAGCGUCGUAGAGGGUGAGAAUCCCGUCUUUGACACGGACAGCCGGUGCUAUGUGAUACGCUCUCGAAGAGUCGAGUUGUUUGGGAAUGCAGCUCAAAACGGGUGGUGAACUCCAUCUAAAGCUAAAUAUUGGCGAGAGACCGAUAGCGAACAAGUACCGUGAGGGAAAGAUGAAAAGCACUUUGGAAAGAGAGUGAAACAGUACGUGAAAUUGCUGAAAGGGAAACGCUUGAAGUCAGUCGCGUCCGCCGGGACUCAGCCCUCGUGGUGUACUUUCCGGCGGACGGGCCAGCAUCACUUUCGGUCGUCGGAUAAGGGCGGGGGAAAUGUGGCACCCUUCGGGGUGUGUUAUAGUCCCCCGUCGUAUACGUCGGCCGGGAGUGAGGACCGCCUUUGUUGCAGGAUGCUGGCGUAAUGGCUUUAAACGAC
RNAcentral lists this ribosomal RNA (565 nucleotides) under Vararia sp. KUC20131022-19. RNAcentral's name for it is "eukaryotic LSU rRNA". It matches the Rfam family "Eukaryotic large subunit ribosomal RNA", at positions 66 to 648 of the family's 3401-position model. Lineage: Eukaryota; Fungi; Basidiomycota; Agaricomycetes; Russulales; Lachnocladiaceae. The record is from RNAcentral.